CAGCAGUCGCCGCGGUAAAACGGAGGGUGCAAGCGUUGUCCGGAUUUAUUGGGUUUAAAGGGUGCGUAGGCGGCCUAAUAAGUCAGUGGUGAAAGCCUCCAGCUUAACUGGAGAACUGCCAUUGAUACUGUUAGGCUUGAGUAUACUUGAGGUAGGCGGAAUUGACAGUGUAGCGGUGAAAUGCAUAGAUAUUGUCAAGAACACCAAUUGCGAAGGCAGCUUACUAAAUUAUAACUGACGCUGAGGCACGAAAGUGUGGGUAUCAAACAGGAUUAGAUACCCCCGUAGUCCCUGUCUCUUAUAC
Molecule: ribosomal RNA, 304 nt
Filed under: uncultured bacterium
Lineage: Bacteria
Description: partial 16S ribosomal RNA
Rfam family: Bacterial small subunit ribosomal RNA
Source: RNAcentral